Molecule: transfer RNA, 72 nt
Filed under: Planctomycetota bacterium
Lineage: Bacteria; Pseudomonadati; Planctomycetota
Description: Planctomycetes bacterium tRNA-Thr
Rfam family: tRNA
About the family: Transfer RNA (tRNA) molecules are approximately 80 nucleotides in length. Their secondary structure includes four short double-helical elements and three loops (D, anti-codon, and T loops).
Source: RNAcentral
GCCGACCUAGCUCAACGGUAGAGCACAGCUUUCGUAAAGCUGGGGUUGUGGGUUCGAAUCCCACGGUCGGCU